GGGCCCGUAGCUCAGCUGGUAGAGUACUUCGUUCGCAACGAAGAGGCCGGGAGUUCGAAUCUCCCCGGGUCCA
Molecule: transfer RNA, 73 nt
Filed under: Candidatus Melainabacteria bacterium RIFCSPLOWO2_02_FULL_35_15
Lineage: Bacteria; Bacillati; Candidatus Melainabacteria
Also listed under: 1 other name
Description: tRNA-Ala
Rfam family: tRNA
About the family: Transfer RNA (tRNA) molecules are approximately 80 nucleotides in length. Their secondary structure includes four short double-helical elements and three loops (D, anti-codon, and T loops).
Source: RNAcentral